RNAcentral lists this long non-coding RNA (417 nucleotides) under Setaria italica (foxtail millet). RNAcentral's name for it is "long non-coding RNA (SITA_LNC007301)". The record is from RNAcentral. Lineage: Eukaryota; Viridiplantae; Streptophyta; Magnoliopsida; Poales; Poaceae.
AAUUAACUCUAUCGAGAGAAACCUGGCGAUGAUAACUGCUGGUUUCUGAAUUACACCUUCACACCUCAAUACUAUCAGCUGUGAAUCUACUGAGUUCAAUUAUGUGGCAAAUGUGUCACGUUCUGAAUUACACCUUCACACCUCACCUUCACACCUUAAUACUAUCAGCUAUGAAUCUUCUGAGUUAAAUUGUGUAUGUGGCAAAUGUGUCGUGGCUGCUACGCUGAUUCUUUUAAGUGUUACUUUCAUGCUUCAAUUAGCACCUCACCUAGGAUUUCUGUCAAGAAACAUGAAAUUCUAUAUAUAUUGGGCACUGUAAGUUCUCUGUUAUAUUUUGUUCUGAGUGUUAAUUUUGAAUUAUAUCAAUAUCUAGAAUGAUCAAGUGUUGCAAGUUUAUGUGAUAUUUAGUUCUAUAGU